GUGGGGAAUUUUGGACAAUGGGCGCAAGCCUGAUCCAGCAAUGCCGCGUGCAGGAAGAAGGCCUUCGGGUUGUAAACUGCUUUUGUACGGAACGAAACGGUCCGGGUUAAUACCCUGGGCUAAUGACGGUACCGUAAGAAUAAGCACCGGCUAACUACGUGCCAGCAGCCGCGGUAAUACGUAGGGUGCAAGCGUUAAUCGGAAUUACUGGGCGUAAAGCGUGCGCAGGCGGUUUUGUAAGACAGGCGUGAAAUCCCCGGGCUCAACCUGGGAAUUGCGCUUGUGAAUGCAAGGCUGGAGUGCGGCAGAGGGGGAUGGAAUUCCGCGUGUAGCAGUGAAAUGCGUAGAUAUGCGGAGGAACACCGAUGGCGAAGGCAAUCCCCUGGGCCUGCACUGACGCUCAUGCACGAAAGCGUGGGGAGCAAACAGGAUUAGAUACCCUGGUAGUCC
RNAcentral lists this ribosomal RNA (450 nucleotides) under uncultured bacterium. Its description in RNAcentral is "partial 16S ribosomal RNA". It matches the Rfam family "Bacterial small subunit ribosomal RNA", at positions 354 to 796 of the family's 1533-position model. The record is from RNAcentral.